GGACCCCUGUCCGCAUCCCGCAGGACCCCUGCCCAGCCCCUUCUGAUCGCUGCCCACCUCCUGCAAGGCCUCACCACCAGCAUGGCGCUGCCACCCGCAGGACCCCUACCCCCCCAACCCAUGCUGCCACCCUCAGGACCCCUGCCCUCACCCCCACAUGACCCCUGCCCCCCCCUCGUAGGACCCUACCCCUUUCCCGCCCGACCCCUCCCACCUUGCACCGCUAGCUCUGCCACCGUGCGGCUGCCCUCCGUGGUCUCGCAGAUGUAGACGGCGUCGUCGUCGGCCGAGACGUUGCGCACCGUGAGCCUGCGCUCAGUGCCCGCCUCCUCGAUGCCGUACUUGGCGCUGGCCCACAGACGCGUGUCCUCCUUGUACCACGCGGCCUCCGUGGACGGCAGCUGCACCUCGCACUGGAACGUGGCCGACUCCUUCUCCCGCACCUCCAGGUCCUGAAGUCGCCUCUUGAAGGAAGGAGAUGUCCUGAAGACAAAAAGGAGAACCGAGGCCCGCAGGCAGCAGCCCAGCGCAAAGCUCGGGGGACUCACGCCCACGCCCACGCCCACGCAGCAGCCAGGCUGCGGGGCCAGCUCCAGAUCACUGCAGUCUCUGAUCACCGGCUGUGGGCCAGGCCCCGCUGCCCUGCGCAUUUCCCCCUGUGCAGCCCCCCUCCCCAAGGAACCGGGCUGUUUCCUCCGCGUGGGCCAUGGCCUGGGGCGCACACUGAAGGUCGGAGCGCCCUGAGAUCCUGCAGCGGGUCAGAAGUGGAGGUCAGUCUCUGCUCUUAGGAGCCUCGCCAACUUGCCCGCAGGACCUGAUCACGUCGCCUGCCAGGGCUUCCCUCCAGAACCCGGAGGGAGCCCCAGACCCCUCCAGGGAUCCUCAACGGGAACCUGUGAACUGGCUUAACCCGGCUCGGCCCCAGCCCCAGCCCUUGCCUUUCUCCCGGACUCUGCCUGGGAGACCCCUUUGGCAACCUGUCACUGGGGUGGAGGGCCUGGUUCACCCCGACAGUGUCUCAGGAGGAGGGGUUGCUUAGGACAAAGCGCUUUGUUCACUCAUGUGACUCUCACAAAGACAAUGGGACAGGCUGAGGGUCAUCCGUGUCGCCCUCAUUUCCUGGGCCCGAAGAGGCUAGAGCCGCCAACAGCUCUGCCUCAGGAUUCCACCACGGAUUCCAUUCCAGGUGGGGGCGGGACUGGGGAGGCGCCUGCUUCUGCGCUCUGCGGGCAGCGACCUGGGCGGGGACCGUGCACUCCCGGCCCCGCGGGCGAGGCGC
This 1279-nucleotide long non-coding RNA is filed under the name Felis catus (domestic cat). RNAcentral's name for it is "lncRNA (ENSFCAG00000051720.1)". The record is from RNAcentral. Lineage: Eukaryota; Metazoa; Chordata; Mammalia; Carnivora; Felidae.